RNAcentral lists this long non-coding RNA (538 nucleotides) under Bos taurus (domestic cattle). RNAcentral describes it as "long non-coding RNA NONBTAT026974". The record is from RNAcentral. Lineage: Eukaryota; Metazoa; Chordata; Mammalia; Artiodactyla; Bovidae.
UAUAGACUAUGGGAAAUAUUUGCCAAUUAACAGAUUGUUGCAAAGUCGGUACAGGAUUCUUUGAGAAUAUCUGUACCUUUUCUAGAGGUGUAUUAUUCUAGAAACACAAACUCUUUCCUUGUAGUUUCUUCCAUGGGUACUUGGAAUCAGAAUUUCUGGAAAAGGUGGGCAUCACAACUGCUUUUUUAUUCGUUUUUUCAAGCUCAGGAAUGAGGUGAAGUGUGAAGAAUGUUUGUGGCUAGUCUGGAAAUCAAUGGAAAACGUGUUAUAGUUUUAUGACAAAUCAAGUAGCACAGAUUUGCUUUGUGUUUGGGAGUUAAUCUACACACUCUAAAAAUGUUCCAAAUCCAGUUAAAGCAACUGAAAUACGAGACUUUGCUGGCACCCCCUAGAAAGAACACACUGCUAUGUCACACAGCUCUCACAAAUGAGUGGGAGAGAUCAUCUCAAACCUUCAACUGUGUAUUUUAAAACACAUGCCAACUGCUCUGAUUCUUGCCAUUAACAACUUCAGAAUUAGCUUACAGAUGGUAAUCUC